UACAGAGGGUGCAAGCGUUGUUCGGAAUUACUGGGCGUAAAGCGUGCGCAGGCGGUUCGUUGUGUCUGUGGUGAAAGCCCCGGGCUUAACCCUGGGAAUGGCCAUGGAAACUGGCGAGCUGGAGUGUGGCAGAGGGGGGUGGGAAUUCCGCGUGUAGCAGUGAAAUGCGUAGAGAUGCGGAGGAACACCGAUGGCGAAGGCAGCCCCCUGGGUUGACACUGACGCUCAGGCACGAAAGCGUGGGGAGCAAACAGG
This 255-nucleotide ribosomal RNA is filed under the name uncultured bacterium. Its description in RNAcentral is "partial 16S ribosomal RNA". It matches the Rfam family "Bacterial small subunit ribosomal RNA", at positions 524 to 776 of the family's 1533-position model. The record is from RNAcentral.